RNAcentral lists this ribosomal RNA (271 nucleotides) under uncultured bacterium. Its description in RNAcentral is "partial small subunit ribosomal RNA". It matches the Rfam family "Bacterial small subunit ribosomal RNA", at positions 26 to 285 of the family's 1533-position model. The record is from RNAcentral.
AGAAUCAACGCUGGCGGCGUGCCUAACACAUGCAAGUCGAACGCGAAAGUCCCGCAAGGGAUAGGUAGAGUGGCAAACGGGUGAGUAACACGUGGGUGACCUGCCUUCGAGUGGGGGAUAACGUCCCGAAAGGGUCGCUAAUACCGCAUGACAUCCUGCUUUUUAAGAGGCGGAGAUCAAAGCUGGGGAUCGCAAGACCUGGCGCUUGAAGAGGGGCCCGCGCCUGAUUAGCUAGUUGGUGGGUAAUGGCUCACCAAGGCAUCGAUCAGUA